This 253-nucleotide ribosomal RNA is filed under the name uncultured bacterium. Its description in RNAcentral is "partial 16S ribosomal RNA". It matches the Rfam family "Bacterial small subunit ribosomal RNA", at positions 524 to 776 of the family's 1533-position model. The record is from RNAcentral.
UACAGAGGUCCCAAGCGUUGUUCGGAUUUACUGGGCGUAAAGGGUGCGUAGGUGGCGAGGUAAGUUCGAUGUGAAAUCUCCGAGCUCAACUCGGAAAUGGCAUUGAAUACUAUCCCGCUUGAGGGUCGGAGGGGAGACUGGAAUUCUCGGUGUAGCAGUGAAAUGCGUAGAUAUCGAGAGGAACACCAGUGGCGAAGGCGGCAUCCUGGACCAAUAUUGACGCUGAGGAGCGAAAGCCAGGGGAGCGAACAGG